This 551-nucleotide long non-coding RNA is filed under the name Chinchilla lanigera (long-tailed chinchilla). Its description in RNAcentral is "lncRNA (ENSCLAG00000025078.1)". Lineage: Eukaryota; Metazoa; Chordata; Mammalia; Rodentia; Chinchillidae. The record is from RNAcentral.
ACCUACAGAAGCAGCCCCAUUCGAUGAAGUACAGGAGGGCAAGGAGGGUCCAUCGCAGGGGCUAGGUGACCAUCUGGGGUGCCUGGUGAUCCUGCACUGGAUGCCUGGCCACAGCUGCAAGGUUACGGGGGGCAGCCUGGGAGACCCCACAGAGGAGGCUGGGGCCUUCCUUCAUCCAGGCUUCAUCACUCACGUCCAGGAGCCCCCACUCUGGUCCUCAGGAGCCUCUCCGCCACCCUCAGCAGAGUGAAGCUGAUGGUCAUGACCUCACCCCGAAGAGCUCCAGGGCCACCUCUUCUCUGAGCCCCAGCUUCUGCUCCCCAGCCUCCUCUACUGACCCGGCUCACUGUGUGCCCGCAGCAGGACAGAGCCGGCUUCUGGUGGCUGGGUGCCCCAGGAAUAUCUGCAGGAGCCCACGCUGCAGGCCACGUGGAUGCUGCGCCCCCGGCUUCCAGGCUGUGGACCCAGGCUGGGCUUGAAUCCAAGAGGCCCGACCCCUCCUGGGUGUUUGGCUGAAUCAAUGUUUAAUUAAAUAUUUAUUCAUUUCCAGU